This 2551-nucleotide ribosomal RNA is filed under the name Escherichia coli. RNAcentral's name for it is "partial 23S ribosomal RNA". It matches the Rfam family "Bacterial large subunit ribosomal RNA", at positions 174 to 2749 of the family's 2925-position model. Lineage: Bacteria; Pseudomonadati; Pseudomonadota; Gammaproteobacteria; Enterobacterales; Enterobacteriaceae. The record is from RNAcentral.
AUGAGGCGAACCGGGGGAACUGAAACAUCUAAGUACCCCGAGGAAAAGAAAUCAACCGAGAUUCCCCCAGUAGCGGCGAGCGAACGGGGAGCAGCCCAGAGCCUGAAUCAGUGUGUGUGUUAGUGGAAGCGUCUGGAAAGGCGCGCGAUACAGGGUGACAGCCCCGUACACAAAAAUGCACAUGCUGUGAGCUCGAUGAGUAGGGCGGGACACGUGGUAUCCUGUCUGAAUAUGGGGGGACCAUCCUCCAAGGCUAAAUACUCCUGACUGACCGAUAGUGAACCAGUACCGUGAGGGAAAGGCGAAAAGAACCCCGGCGAGGGGAGUGAAAAAGAACCUGAAACCGUGUACGUACAAGCAGUGGGAGCACGCUUAGGCGUGUGACUGCGUACCUUUUGUAUAAUGGGUCAGCGACUUAUAUUCUGUAGCAAGGUUAACCGAAUAGGGGAGCCGAAGGGAAACCGAGUCUUAACUGGGCGUUAAGUUGCAGGGUAUAGACCCGAAACCCGGUGAUCUAGCCAUGGGCAGGUUGAAGGUUGGGUAACACUAACUGGAGGACCGAACCGACUAAUGUUGAAAAAUUAGCGGAUGACUUGUGGCUGGGGGUGAAAGGCCAAUCAAACCGGGAGAUAGCUGGUUCUCCCCGAAAGCUAUUUAGGUAGCGCCUCGUGAAUUCAUCUCCGGGGGUAGAGCACUGUUUCGGCAAGGGGGUCAUCCCGACUUACCAACCCGAUGCAAACUGCGAAUACCGGAGAAUGUUAUCACGGGAGACACACGGCGGGUGCUAACGUCCGUCGUGAAGAGGGAAACAACCCAGACCGCCAGCUAAGGUCCCAAAGUCAUGGUUAAGUGGGAAACGAUGUGGGAAGGCCCAGACAGCCAGGAUGUUGGCUUAGAAGCAGCCAUCAUUUAAAGAAAGCGUAAUAGCUCACUGGUCGAGUCGGCCUGCGCGGAAGAUGUAACGGGGCUAAACCAUGCACCGAAGCUGCGGCAGCGACGCUUAUGCGUUGUUGGGUAGGGGAGCGUUCUGUAAGCCUGUGAAGGUGUGCUGUGAGGCAUGCUGGAGGUAUCAGAAGUGCGAAUGCUGACAUAAGUAACGAUAAAGCGGGUGAAAAGCCCGCUCGCCGGAAGACCAAGGGUUCCUGUCCAACGUUAAUCGGGGCAGGGUGAGUCGACCCCUAAGGCGAGGCCGAAAGGCGUAGUCGAUGGGAAACAGGUUAAUAUUCCUGUACUUGGUGUUACUGCGAAGGGGGGACGGAGAAGGCUAUGUUGGCCGGGCGACGGUUGUCCCGGUUUAAGCGUGUAGGCUGGUUUUCCAGGCAAAUCCGGAAAAUCAAGGCUGAGGCGUGAUGACGAGGCACUACGGUGCUGAAGCAACAAAUGCCCUGCUUCCAGGAAAAGCCUCUAAGCAUCAGGUAACAUCAAAUCGUACCCCAAACCGACACAGGUGGUCAGGUAGAGAAUACCAAGGCGCUUGAGAGAACUCGGGUGAAGGAACUAGGCAAAAUGGUGCCGUAACUUCGGGAGAAGGCACGCUGAUAUGUAGGUGAAGUCCCUCGCGGAUGGAGCUGAAAUCAGUCGAAGAUACCAGCUGGCUGCAACUGUUUAUUAAAAACACAGCACUGUGCAAACACGAAAGUGGACGUAUACGGUGUGACGCCUGCCCGGUGCCGGAAGGUUAAUUGAUGGGGUCAGCGCAAGCGAAGCUCUUGAUCGAAGCCCCGGUAAACGGCGGCCGUAACUAUAACGGUCCUAAGGUAGCGAAAUUCCUUGUCGGGUAAGUUCCGACCUGCACGAAUGGCGUAAUGAUGGCCAGGCUGUCUCCACCCGAGACUCAGUGAAAUUGAACUCGCUGUGAAGAUGCAGUGUACCCGCGGCAAGACGGAAAGACCCCGUGAACCUUUACUAUAGCUUGACACUGAACAUUGAGCCUUGAUGUGUAGGAUAGGUGGGAGGCUUAGAAGUGUGGACGCCAGUCUGCAUGGAGCCGACCUUGAAAUACCACCCUUUAAUGUUUGAUGUUCUAACGUUGACCCGUAAUCCGGGUUGCGGACAGUGUCUGGUGGGUAGUUUGACUGGGGCGGUCUCCUCCUAAAGAGUAACGGAGGAGCACGAAGGUUGGCUAAUCCUGGUCGGACAUCAGGAGGUUAGUGCAAUGGCAUAAGCCAGCUUGACUGCGAGCGUGACGGCGCGAGCAGGUGCGAAAGCAGGUCAUAGUGAUCCGGUGGUUCUGAAUGGAAGGGCCAUCGCUCAACGGAUAAAAGGUACUCCGGGGAUAACAGGCUGAUACCGCCCAAGAGUUCAUAUCGACGGCGGUGUUUGGCACCUCGAUGUCGGCUCAUCACAUCCUGGGGCUGAAGUAGGUCCCAAGGGUAUGGCUGUUCGCCAUUUAAAGUGGUACGCGAGCUGGGUUUAGAACGUCGUGAGACAGUUCGGUCCCUAUCUGCCGUGGGCGCUGGAGAACUGAGGGGGGCUGCUCCUAGUACGAGAGGACCGGAGUGGACGCAUCACUGGUGUUCGGGUUGUCAUGCCAAUGGCACUGCCCGGUAGC